CAGGUUUUUACGGGACAAAAAGAGAUAGGCCACACAUGACUUUGGAUUUAAAUGAAACUGAUCUGAGGGCUGGGCUUAAACCCAUAUUCGUGAAUCACACCUGAUAACUCACCCUUCUUCAUUCCUUCCUCUCCUUUCUCUUUCUCUCGAUCUGUAAGUUUGAGAAACCCAGGCGAGGAUCAAAACCCGUCCUUUCGACCACUCCGAAGACACCCAUUUCCUCUUCUCAAUCGAUUUUGCAUGAUCUAAGGUUCCCCAACUCCUCCUAUAUUUAACUCCCUCUUCAUCACCCAAAAACCAUUCUUCAUCCAAUCAUGUCUCACUUGAUGGCUCUCUCUCAGUUGGUGAAUUGAUAGAGAGAAGGCUAUUAUAAUCAAAGCAACGAUUCCGAUUGAACUGAGGUAGUGAGAGAGCUGCUGGGUUCCGAUGAGUUCGAAGCUACUCUCGGUCGGAGAUGUGGUGGUGGUUGUGUUGCUGUGCACCUCACCUGGGUUUAGAGAUUAGAGAGAAAGAGAAAGAGGCAGCACUGGAUCUCCCAAUAAAGGCUCUUUCUUCAAUCUGAAGAUUUCAUAGCAGGUGUUCCCAAAUCCAUAAUGGACAUACUAGCCACUGUGCGGCCAGAUCUUAUAGUAUCUAUUGCGUUUAUCUUUUGAUAUGUAGUUAUCAGCACUUCAGAUUCAUUUUCAGUGGUUACCCGAUCCCGACUUUGCUAUUUUGUCAGGAUGAGGUCACCAAUUCUGAAGGAACCAAUAUGCGGUUACUAGUUAGCAAACAAGAAGAAUCAAAGUAUUAUUACUUGUUGUGGUUGGAUUAUUUAUAGCACAUCUGUUGAGCAGUGCUUGUAUUUGCUGGUUGAGUGAGAUCAUCCUAGAGAAUGACUGUUUUUGCUGAUCUACAUGAUUACUGGUAAUGGUACUACUUCUACCAAAGAACUUAUAGUGGGAUAUCCUAGUCUUCCUGUGGAAAAGUGCUGGCCAAUUACCAAAUGCAUCAAUUGGUAAGAG
Fragaria vesca subsp. vesca is the source of this 1004-nucleotide RNA transcript. RefSeq lists it as uncharacterized. Lineage: Eukaryota; Viridiplantae; Streptophyta; Magnoliopsida; Rosales; Rosaceae. The record is from RefSeq and is a predicted model, not a curated record. The transcript has 5 exons.